This 306-nucleotide ribosomal RNA is filed under the name uncultured bacterium. RNAcentral's name for it is "partial 16S ribosomal RNA". It matches the Rfam family "Bacterial small subunit ribosomal RNA", at positions 507 to 809 of the family's 1533-position model. The record is from RNAcentral.
GACAGCAGUCGCCGCGGUAAUACGGAGGAUCCAAGCGUUAUCCGGAAUCAUUGGGUUUAAAGGGUCCGUAGGCGGUCUUGUAAGUCAGUGGUGAAAGCCCAUCGCUCAACGGUGGAACGGCCAUUGAUACUGCAGGACUUGAAUUAUUGGGAAGUAACUAGAAUAUGUAGUGUAGCGGUGAAAUGCUUAGAGAUUACAUGGAAUACCAAUUGCGAAGGCAGGUUACUACCAAUUGAUUGACGCUGAUGGACGAAAGCGUGGGUAGCGAACAGGAUUAGAUACCCCCGUAGUCCCUGUCUCUUAUAA